RNAcentral lists this transfer RNA (101 nucleotides) under Dufourea novaeangliae. It matches the Rfam family "tRNA". Rfam says of the family: Transfer RNA (tRNA) molecules are approximately 80 nucleotides in length. Their secondary structure includes four short double-helical elements and three loops (D, anti-codon, and T loops). Lineage: Eukaryota; Metazoa; Arthropoda; Insecta; Hymenoptera; Halictidae. The record is from Rfam by way of RNAcentral.
CCUUCGAUAGCUCAGUUGGUGGAGCAGUGGACUGUAGUACAUUUGAUUAAUUUAAACAAAUAGGUAUCCAUAGGUCGAUGGUUCAAAUCCGUCUCGAAGGA